CCAGGCAUUGGGAGCAAAAGAACCCUCACAAGCCUAGAAAACCAGAAACAGCUUCUUCCAGAGGGACAAAUACUACUAGAGGGAGCCUUGCCCAUCAGCUGGAACACACAGCCCAAAUACUAAAGAGUCAGAGACUGUAUCAUCACCACAGGCAGAAGAAAGGACAAACUGCU
Molecule: long non-coding RNA, 173 nt
Filed under: Junco hyemalis (dark-eyed junco)
Lineage: Eukaryota; Metazoa; Chordata; Aves; Passeriformes; Passerellidae
Description: lncRNA (ENSJHYG00000005102.1)
Source: RNAcentral